UUUCUAUAGGUGAACCUGCGGAAGGAUCCUUGUCGUGAACCUGACCAAAAUAGACCGCGCAUGCGUCAUCCAAUAUGCCGGUGACGGUAGUGUCCGUUGCUCGGCCAAGUCCGCGACCGCCUCCCCUCCUCGGAGUGGGGGCUCGGGGUAAAAAAAACCACGGCGCCAAAGGCGUCAAGGAACACUGUGCCUCACCCGGGGGCAAGGCUAGCUUGCUAGUCAUCCCCUGUGUUGCAAAGCUAUUUAAUCCACAUGACUCUCGGCAACGGAUAUCUUGGCUCUC
This 283-nucleotide unclassified non-coding RNA is filed under the name root metagenome. RNAcentral describes it as "partial contains small subunit ribosomal RNA, internal transcribed spacer 1, and 5.8S ribosomal RNA". The record is from RNAcentral.